This 253-nucleotide ribosomal RNA is filed under the name uncultured bacterium. Its description in RNAcentral is "partial 16S ribosomal RNA". It matches the Rfam family "Bacterial small subunit ribosomal RNA", at positions 524 to 776 of the family's 1533-position model. The record is from RNAcentral.
UACGUAGGGUGCAAGCGUUGUCCGGAAUUAUUGGGCGUAAAGAGCUCGUAGGCGGUCUGUCGCGUCGGAAGUGAAAACCCGGGGCUCAACCCCGGGCCUGCUUUCGAUACGGGCAGACUAGAGUUCGGCAGGGGAGACUGGAAUUCCUGGUGUAGCGGCGAAAUGCGCAGAUAUCAGGAGGAACACCGGUGGCGAAGGCGGGUCUCUGGGCCGAUACUGACGCUGAGGAGCGAAAGCGUGGGGAGCGAACAGG